AAAAAAGGUAAGCUACUAAGAGCGAAUGGUGGAUGCCUUGACUGGUAAAGGCGAUGAAGGACGUACUAGACUGCGAUAAGCUACGGGGAGCUGUCAAGAAGCUUUGAUCCGUAGAUUUCCGAAUGGGGCAACCCAAUGUAUAGAGAUAUACAUUACCUAUAUAGGAGCGAACGAGGGGAAUUGAAACAUCUUAGUACCCUCAGGAAAAGAAAUCAAUAGAGAUUGCGUCAGUAGCGGCGAGCGAAAGCGCAAGAGGGCAAACCCAGUGCUUGCACUGGGGGUUGUAGGACUGCAAUGUGCAAGAGGUGAGUUUAGCAGAACAUUCUGGAAAGUAUAGCCAUAGAGGGUGAUAGUCCCGUAUGCGAAAAACAAACCUUAGCUAGCAGUAUCCUGAGUAGGGCGGGACACGAGAAAUCCUGUCUGAAGCUGGGUCGACCACGAUCCAACCCUAAAUACUAAUACCAGAUCGAUAGUGCACAAGUACCGUGAGGGAAAGGUGAAAAGAACUGAGGUGAUCAGAGUGAAAUAGAACCUGAAACCAUUUGCUUACAAUCAUUCAGAGCCCUAUGUAGCAAUACAGGGUGAUGGACUGCCUUUUGCAUAAUGAGCCUGCGAGUUGUGGUGUCUGGCAAGGUUAAGCAAACGCGAAGCCGUAGCGAAAGCGAGUCUGAAUAGGGCGCUUAGUCAGAUGCUGCAGACCCGAAACGAAGUGAUCUAUCCAUGAGCAAGUUGAAGCUAGUGUAAGAACUAGUGGAGGACUGAACCCAUAGGCGUUGAAAAGCCCCGGGAUGACUUGUGGAUAGGGGUGAAAGGCCAAUCAAACUUCGUGAUAGCUGGUUCUCUCCGAAAUAUAUUUAGGUAUAGCGUUGUGUCGUAAUAUAAGGGGGUAGAGCACUGAAUGGGCUAGGGCAUACACCAAUGUACCAAACCCUAUCAAACUCCGAAUACCUUAUAUGUAAUCACAGCAGUCAGGCGGCGAGUGAUAAAAUCCGUCGUCAAGAGGGAAACAACCCAGACUACCAGCUAAGGUCCCUAAAUCUUACUUAAGUGGAAAACGAUGUGAAGUUACUUAAACAACCAGGAGGUUGGCUUAGAAGCAGCCAUCCUUUAAAGAAAGCGUAAUAGCUCACUGGUCUAGUGAUUUUGCGCGGAAAAUAUAACGGGGCUAAAGUAAGUACCGAAGCUGUAGACUUGCACACAACUUAGAUUAUUUAAGUUUAGAAUAUGAGAAACUAAGUUAUAUGUUUAGUUAUAUUUUUACUGAUUUUUAUAGAGUAAAGAUAGAAAUAAAACUUAGUAAAAUCAGUAAAAAUAUUCUUAGACUAAAGUUAAGUAGUUUAAGUUGUGUGCAAGUGGUAGGAGAGCGUUCUAUUUGCGUCGAAGGUAUACCGGUAAGGAGUGCUGGAGCGAAUAGAAGUGAGCAUGCAGGCAUGAGUAGCGAUAAUUAAUGUGAGAAUCAUUAACGCCGUAAACCCAAGGUUUCCUACGCGAUGCUCGUCAUCGUAGGGUUAGUCGGGUCCUAAGUCGAGUCCGAAAGGGGUAGACGAUGGCAAAUUGGUUAAUAUUCCAAUACCAACAUUAGUGUGCGAUGGAAGGACGCUUAGGGCUAAGGGGGCUAGCGGAUGGAAGUGCUAGUCUAAGGUCGUAGGAGGUUAUACAGGCAAAUCCGUAUAACAAUACUCCGAGAACUGAAAGGCUUUUUGAAGUCUUCGGAUGGAUAGAAGAACCCCUGAUGCCGUCGAGCCAAGAAAAGUUUCUAAGUUUAGCUAAUGUUGCCCGUACCGUAAACCGACACAGGUGGGUGGGAUGAGUAUUCUAAGGCGCGUGGAAGAACUCUCUUUAAGGAACUCUGCAAAAUAGCACCGUAUCUUCGGUAUAAGGUGUGGUUAGCUUUGUAUUAGGAUUUACUCCGAAAGCAAGGAAACUUACAACAAAGAGUCCCUCCCGACUGUUUACCAAAAACACAGCACUCUGCUAACUCGUAAGAGGAUGUAUAGGGUGUGACGCCUGCCCGGUGCUCGAAGGUUAAUUGAUGGGGUUAGCAUUAGCGAAGCUCUUGAUCGAAGCCCGAGUAAACGGCGGCCGUAACUAUAACGGUCCUAAGGUAGCGAAAUUCCUUGUCGGUUAAAUACCGACCUGCAUGAAUGGCGUAACGAGAUGGGAGCUGUCUCAAAGAGGGAUCCAGUGAAAUUGUAGUGGAGGUGAAAAUUCCUCCUACCCGCGGCAAGACGGAGAGACCCCGUGGACCUUUACUACAGCUUGACACUGCUAUUUGGAUAAGAAUGUGCAGGAUAGGUGGGAGGCUUUGAGUAUAUGACGCCAGUUGUAUAUGAGCCAUUGUUGAGAUACCACUCUUUCUUAUUUGGGUAGCUAACCAGCUUGAGUUAUCCUCAAGUGGGACAAUGUCUGGUGGGUAGUUUGACUGGGGCGGUCGCCUCCCAAAUAAUAACGGAGGCUUACAAAGGUUGGCUCAGAACGGUUGGAAAUCGUUCGUAGAGUAUAAAGGUAUAAGCCAGCUUAACUGCAAGACAUACAAGUCAAGCAGAGACGAAAGUCGGUCUUAGUGAUCCGGUGGUUCUGUGUGGAAGGGCCAUCGCUCAAAGGAUAAAAGGUACCCCGGGGAUAACAGGCUGAUCUCCCCCAAGAGCUCACAUCGACGGGGAGGUUUGGCACCUCGAUGUCGGCUCAUCGCAUCCUGGGGCUGGAGCAGGUCCCAAGGGUAUGGCUGUUCGCCAUUUAAAGCGGUACGCGAGCUGGGUUCAGAACGUCGUGAGACAGUUCGGUCCCUAUCUGCCGUGGGCGUAAGAAGAUUGAAGAGAUUUGACCCUAGUACGAGAGGACCGGGUUGAACAAACCACUGGUGUAGCUGUUGUUCUGCCAAGAGCAUCGCAGCGUAGCUAAGUUUGGAAAGGAUAAACGCUGAAAGCAUCUAAGCGUGAAGCCAACUCUAAGAUGAAUCUUCUCUAAGCUCUCUAGAAGACUACUAGUUUGAUAGGCUGGGUGUGUAAUGGAUGAAAGUCCUUUAGCUGACCAGUACUAAUAGAGCGUUUGGCUUAUCUUUAAUAAAGCAU
RNAcentral lists this ribosomal RNA (3071 nucleotides) under Campylobacter coli. RNAcentral describes it as "bacterial LSU rRNA". It matches the Rfam family "Bacterial large subunit ribosomal RNA". Lineage: Bacteria; Pseudomonadati; Campylobacterota; Epsilonproteobacteria; Campylobacterales; Campylobacteraceae. The record is from RNAcentral.